This is an RNA transcript of Oncorhynchus mykiss (rainbow trout), 2754 nucleotides long. It is a transcript of the gene named RAP2C, member of RAS oncogene family, with no coding region annotated. NCBI's taxonomy places the organism in Eukaryota, Metazoa, Chordata, Actinopteri, Salmoniformes, Salmonidae. The record is from RefSeq and is a predicted model, not a curated record.
UACAUUGCAGAUUUUUCACGAUGGUCCUUCUUUGACAUAUGGCCUGCAUUUUGGACAACCAUGUAGCGAUUCAAUGUCCCUGCUGAGGACUUAAAUAUAUUAGUAUUUGCACUAGCAAAUUUGGUCCUCGUCAUUUGAUUAGAUUUUUGAAAGAAAAUAAGAGCUGGUUACUUACUAGGUUCCACAGGACAUUGCAGCCCAGUAGUGGUCGCGAGGAUGAGACAGUACGGAUACUAGGGAGAGGCCGUGAGGACGAAAUUAAGGAAGGGAGUGGGAGGUCUUUCCCUGUCUCGUACUAAACAGCAACCAAGCAGUGUACUGUGGACAGCAUUGGAACUCCAACCCGAGGUUCCUAAACGCUAUCUGGCUGCUGAAGUGCAGCUUGCCCGUGAUAAGGCCAGGGACCAGCCGUGUUGGAAGUGGCAGACGCUGGCAUUGGGCUUUUGCGACACCGGUAUGCUUUAUGAUGUGGUGUGAGCGAGCCACAUUCACAUGUUCUCCAAAAAUGGAGACAAUAAAAGUCAUUAUAAUAUUGUGCAUCUUAACUAGCUAGCCACCAACUCCGGUAAUGCACAGUUUUGGGGCAGAUUACUGAUAGAAGCAACAGCCCAUAUUCAUGUCAAGGUAACGUAGUUAUGUUUACUGUCUGAAGGAUUUGUCAUAAGAAGGCUCCUUAUCGAGAGCGAGCAUGGAGGGGCGUUGUGGAUUUAGCCAACUUUGCUAGUUAGCUCAGUGCAACACUUCUGCUUUUAACUAGAUUUUAAAAAAUUUAACUAAACGCAUACAUGUUAACAUUUUAACUGGGAGGUUGAUUUGUGCGGGUUUACAGAGUUGUGUUGUCAAGGUUUACUUGAUUAAUGUUGUCACGGGCUAUAGCAAUCCAGCUAGCUAACGUUAGCUAAGUAACCCGGGUCAAACUCGUGCCCCUAAUGAAGGAGUACAAAGUGGUUGUGCUGGGAAGCGGCGGCGUCGGCAAGUCCGCGCUGACUGUCCAGUUUGUCACGGGCACAUUCAUCGAGAAAUAUGACCCUACAAUUGAGGACUUCUAUCGGAAAGAGAUUGAAGUGGACUCGUCGCCUUCGGUGCUGGAGAUCCUUGACACGGCAGGGACAGAACAGUUCGCCUCCAUGAGGGACCUGUACAUCAAGAACGGCCAAGGUUUCAUACUUGUCUACAGUCUCGUCAAUCAACAGUCAUUUCAGGACAUCAGGCCGAUGCGAGACCAGAUCGUGCGGGUCAAGCGCUUUGAGAAGGUGCCACUGAUCCUGGUGGGGAACAAGGUGGACCUGGAGUCUGAGAGGGAGGUGGCGGGUGCAGACGGUCGGGCCCUGGCCCAGGAGUGGGGCUGCCCCUUCAUCGAGACCUCAGCCAAGAGCAAGACCAUGGUGGACGAGCUGUUUGCUGAGAUCGUCCGUCAGAUGAACUAUGCCACGCUGCCAGAGAAACAGGAGCAGUGCUGCACGGCCUGUGUGGUGCAGUGAGGAAGUAGGGGACACUGUCCCCUCUACACCUCUCUCCCAGGAAGCAGAUUUUCUGCACUGUGUGAGAACUACCCCCUGCCUUCCCCACACAAACUGCAGACACACAUACACAUUGAGGAUCUCUCCCAACUGGCUCCUGCUUUGAUGACCCAGGAACAACUUGAGCUCGAUCACACCUUUUGACCUCUCCAGCUGGCAGUGUUACCUACAGUACCAGAGAGCAGAUUCUUGUCUGUCCAUAAUCCAAUUCAAGUGAGUCUUGAGCCUGCCCAACCUUUGAUAUCUUGACUGUGGAACACAUUCACCUACAGACUCACUGGCCUUCAUGAUGACCCGGCCCAGGGAAGACCCACUUUUCAAUGUGUAGAGGAUAACCUUUAUGAGGAUGAAGGAUUGUCUAUGGAUUUCUAUUUUCUCAUUUGGGGUUGGGGAGUGCUGGGGCAAUGAGCAGCGAUCUGUUCAGGACCACAGCAAAGCUUUUUGAAGCUGCUCCGUCAUUAGUUCCCCUGGUUUUACUUUUUACUUGUAUCUAUUUAUUAAAUCUGGUAUCUAAUUUUAAAGUAAUAAUGGACAUGCGGGUUGAGGACUCGGGUCAGAAUUUAUUCAAACCGUGGUAAAUGUAUGAUUGCUGUGGUUUAUAGGGCCUACAACCAACUGUAUGGUGGUUAUAAAGCAGACCACCCUUCAACUUUCUUUUUUUCGAUGGGCAUGGUCGAGCCAGGUCUCCAAGCAUGAGACAUUCACGUUGAGCACUAUGCAUGUUUGUUUUCUGGUUGCCGCUGUGUGGUUUGCUUUAAAGACAGGAGAUACAGUUUCCUCUUAGUCAUGCAAAUGACUAAUAUGUUACAUGGUUUGAUCAAAUUCUGACCCUAAACAAUCUAACUUGCCCUGAACCACAUGUCAAACACGAUGUGCUGAGGGCAGUGUCUGCAGGUUUUUAUGCCACUCUUGUACUUUAUUGAUGAAUUAAGGUCAAUGAUUAUUAAGGAACUCCACUCAACUGGUUGCCUUGGUCUUAAUUGAAAGGAAAAACCUGCACACACUAGGCCCUCCAUGGAAUGAGUUUGACACCCCUGCCCUAAAUGAUCUAACUUACAUUGUUACUUUUAUUUUUGCUUUUCUCAUAACAUAUUUAUUAAAAUAUCUAAUUGCUUUGUUAGCCAAUUAUCAACUUUUUUUUUUUUAUAUACUUGCUUUUGGGUUUGCUUUUGUGACUUUACAGUGUGUUGUUUUUGAAGAUGAGAAUUAAGAGCCUUAAAUGAUUUCAGUCUUA